This is a long non-coding RNA of Oncorhynchus tshawytscha (Chinook salmon), 3180 nucleotides long. The record is from Ensembl. NCBI's taxonomy places the organism in Eukaryota, Metazoa, Chordata, Actinopteri, Salmoniformes, Salmonidae.
CGAGCAGUGCGGCUUGGCAGGGUCGUGUUUCAGAGGACGCAUGGCCUCCCCCGAUUCUGUAGAAGCAGUGUAAAUUCAGAUGCAUAUCCCAGAUUAAACCAAGGAAUCCUCUUUUAAAGAAGCAUUCUCUACGCCCUGACUGGUUAGUCUUCUCUACAUUCUGAUACUACUACCCUGGUGUGACCUGAGGCUCAGCCGACGUCAUGGCUAUCUCUCCUACCGUAACCCUCCACCUGGACGAUGGUGUGGUGCGUGGCCUGGACCUGCAGUCUUGUGCUGUCCAGCUGUGUAAAGGACAUGGUCACUGUGUGGCUCAGGGACAGGUCACCACCUGUGAGUGUAUCCUGGGGUACAGAGGAGAGUUCUGCCAUGAGAGUGUCAAUGAGGCAAUCGGUGUUCCGCUCACCCUGGGGGUAGUGGCCUUUAUCGUUGGCAUCCUCAUCCUCUCCUUCCUCAUUGCAUUCAUCAGGCAGAGGGUCAAGGUCAAAAGGAAAGCUGCAGCCAAGGAUUCAAGUGGUUUAGAAAAAGACAUUCUGUAGCAUCAAGGUUUGGUUGACGGUCCAACAUCAGAGCACAUCCCCUUCAUCAGGCUUUAUCCCCGGUAUAAACAAUUAUAUACUGUAGUACUAUUUAUAUAAACAACUAUUUACUGUAGUACUCUUCAUAUGAACUACAUGCGUUAGUGUUAACUACUAUACCAUAGCACUACUUAUAUAAACAACUAUGCUGUGGUACUAAUAGAAAUCCAUAUAUGGUGGGACGACUCGUGAAAAGUAAGGACUGUUUUUGGCGAUAGCUGUGUUUGAAUACUAACAAACUGUAUACUACAUACUUAAUAAGUGUAUAUUACAUACUAUAUACUGUUUGUUGAUUUUUAGUAUACUGUAAAUGUCCGGUAUCCUUUCAGUUGAUUGUACUAGCGCUUUGCCUGUCUAUCUGUAGUUGAUGCUGUUGCUAUGCAACUUCUUGUUAGCAUAGCUAACAAAUGACUAGCUAGACGUUUUAUGACUUCAUUGAGAACCCACAAUGGCUAUACCACUUAGCUAAGCCAAGAAUAAUCAAGCCAAUAAAUUUUGGGUAGUUUGCAUAUAGUUAAUAUACUGGCGAGUUUGUAUUAGUAACUAGCUAACAUACAGUACCUACAAGCAACUGCUGUAAUGAUACGCUAUGCAGUUCUAUGCUAACAAACUGUCAGCGAACGUAACUUAUUUGAAAAGUCGUUACUCCAGAGUGGUGCAGCGGUCUAAGGCACUGCAUCUCAGUGCUAAAGGUGUCACUACAGACCCUGGUUCGAUUCCAGGCUGUAUCACAACCGACCGUGAUUAGGAGUCCCAUAGGGCGGCGCACAAUUGGCCCAGGGUCGUUAGGGUUUGGCCGGGGUAGGCCGUCAUUUUAAAUAAGAAUUUGUUCUCAACUGACUUGCCUAGUUAAACCCCAAUAUAUAUAUAUAUUAAAGGUUACAUAAAAAUUACAUUUCUCAACAAUUUCCUUCCGUUUGAGCCUGGCCUGACUGGCUUACCUCCUUUUAGAGCCUGGCCUGACUGGUUAGUUGGUAACAUUUAACACAUUUUCUCCAAAACAUGACAGGAAUUUCAACGCUGGUAAACCAGUCAGUCCAACAGUGUUUUUCAUUGGCAACAGAAAGCAUCCGCUGGGGAUUGAGGUUUGAAAAUAAACACUGUUCUAUACAGGCUGUAGUGUUCGUCAAAACAGGUUUCGUCUUGCAUACUUAGGAUUGCAUGACUAUCCCUAUUGUGCUGCUGAGUGCCUUAGAUCAAAGUGAAGUUUACUGUCCAACAUCAGAGCUUGGCCUUUUCAUUGGCUCCAUCCCUGGUACAUGUAUAAAUAACUAUAUAUUGUAGUACUAUUCAUAUAAACAACUAUAUACUGUAGUACUUUUAAUACAAGCAACUAAAUACUUUAGUACUAUUUAUAUUACCAACUAUAUACUGUAGUACUAUUCAUAAACUACAUGCGCUAGUACUACUAGUGUUAACUACUAUACAAUAGGACUUCUUAUAUAAACAAAUAUGCUGUGGUACUAAUAUAAAACCACAUGGUGGGACUACUCGUAUAAAGGACUUUUUUUUGGGGUCACGUCUUUAUACUGACUAACUUUAUACUUUUUUUCUGGGAAACCAAAGCCUCGACGAGCAGCAGCUUUUCUCACGCUGAUCCUGGCCAUGCUGUUAUGACUGAUUAGUGUGGUGAUGCACUCUGUUGCCUAACUUGUUUGUGUUGCUUGUGGCUGUAUUGCUUGUGGUUUGUUGCCUGACUUGUUUGUGCUGCUUGUGGCUGUGUUGCCUGACUGUUGCCUGACUGACUGGUUUGUGCUGUGUUGCCUGAUUGUUGCCUGACUGGUUUGUGUUUAUGGUUGUGUUGCUUGUGGUUUGUUAACUGAUUUUGUGUUGCCUGACUUAGUGUUAUCUAUGACUCAUUAGUGACUAAUAGACCUAAGCAAUGGCAACAUUCAGUUGCUCCUAAACAUGACAGGAAUUCAAACUGAGCUUUUCAUUGGCCACAAAGGUUUGAAAAUAUACACUGUAUACAAGUCUGGUCCCCUUGCUGAUAUAAUUUUCUCUUGUAACUGUAAACUCAAGUGAGUUUUUGUCUUAAUUUCAAGCUGAUCCAGUCUCUCCCUCUAGAGGUUGGUUACAACAUAAUGGAAGCCUGUCCAGUCAUGGACCUUCGGAUCAUACAACCGCCUUGUUAAUUCCAUGUGGAUAAAAUGCUAUUAUGUUCUUGAAUAAUUAUUAUAGACGCAUUGCAAACAAAAUAUUUUAUCAAUUGUAUUUUUUAAGCUUUGUUCUUGUAUCUGAAUGUUGGAUAUGCUUAAACCUGGGCAAAUUCACAUUAAAACACUGUUUACUUCUGUGUGAUCAAUGUCUCUUAGUGGUAUCCUUUUAAACGGAUUGUUUAUCACAUUUGUAGAACUAACCUGUAGAUCACUAGGCCUAGUUUUUUUACCUGUUUAUGACAUCCAUGUACUUGGCCAACAAAACAACUUGUUAGCAUUCCUAGAGUAGAAAGCAGGGUUUGGAACCAAAUUAUUUUACAAUCGUUUUGUUCAACUCUUCUGACCAGCAAAAUAAAGUUCUGAACUGGUUUGAAGCAACAACAAAACAUGUACCAGUAUAUAUUCCUUUUUAUAACCUGUCAAAUAAACUUCUUUUAAAAACA